UACGAAGGGGGCUAGCGUUGCUCGGAAUUACUGGGCGUAAAGCGCACGUAGGCGGCUUUCUAAGUCGGGGGUGGAAAUCCUGGAGCUCAACUCCAGAACUGCCUUCGAUACUGGAAAGCUCGAGUCCGGGAGAGGUGAGUGGAACUGCGAGUGUAGAGGUGAAAUUCGUAGAUAUUCGCAAGAACACCAGUGGCGAAGGCGGCUCACUGGCCCGGUACUGACGCUGAGGUGCGAAGCGUGGGAGCAACAGGAUAAGA
This 257-nucleotide ribosomal RNA is filed under the name uncultured bacterium. RNAcentral's name for it is "partial 16S ribosomal RNA". It matches the Rfam family "Bacterial small subunit ribosomal RNA", at positions 524 to 782 of the family's 1533-position model. The record is from RNAcentral.